Molecule: ribosomal RNA, 253 nt
Filed under: uncultured bacterium
Lineage: Bacteria
Description: partial 16S ribosomal RNA
Rfam family: Bacterial small subunit ribosomal RNA
Source: RNAcentral
UACGGGGGGGGCGAGCGUUGUUCGGAAUUAUUGGGCGUAAAGGGCGCGUAGGCGGUGCGGUAAGUCUGAUGUGAAACCUCCAGGCUCAACUUGGAGCUUGCAUUAGAAACUGGCAGGCUAGAGUGCGGGAGAGGAGAGUGGAAUUCCUGGUGUAGCGGUGAAAUGCGCAGAUAUCAGGAAGAACACCCGUGGCGAAGGCGGCUCUCUGGAACGCAACUGACGCUGAGACGCGAAAGCGUGGGGAGCAAACAGG